Molecule: ribosomal RNA, 253 nt
Filed under: uncultured bacterium
Lineage: Bacteria
Description: partial 16S ribosomal RNA
Rfam family: Bacterial small subunit ribosomal RNA
Source: RNAcentral
UACGAAGGGUGCAAACGUUGCUCGGAAUUAUUGGGCGUAAAGCGCACGUAGGCGGCUCCGCAAGUCCCAUGUGAAAGCCCACGGCUCAACCGUGGAAGUGCAUGGGAAACUGCAGAGCUUGAGUACUAAAGAGGAUCGCGGAAUUCCCGGUGUAGAGGUGAAAUUCGUAGAUAUCGGGAGGAACACCAGUGGCGAAGGCGGCGAUCUGGGUAGAUACUGACGCUGAGGUGCGAAAGCGUGGGGAGCAAACAGG